CUUGGGAUGUAUCUCAAAUCCAGGGAUGCUCCCUGCCCUGCAGUGUGCCUGGUAGAACUGGGAUGUGCUCCAUUGAAUUUAUAGCUGUCAGUGCUGUUAGCUGGCACUGAGCAGGCUCCUGUGCUUGCCAUGGGGGGCACUCCCCAGACUGUAUUAGAGUCCAGUGCUAGUUAGUGGAUGCUUUUUGCUUUCACUGCUGCUCUAGUGCUUAUCACCUCUCUGGAUCAUGCCUGGGAACACUUUGAUAACAGCCUUUGCUGGGCUGGGCUGGCAGGGGGCCAGGGCAGUGCUGCUGUGUGUGUGCUGGACAGGCUGGAACUCCAGUCUGAACCUGAGCUGAAGGGACUGAGACGUGUGGAGGAGCCCACAAGGGAGCACAGAGCCACCUGCAGGGGGAUGCCUGGAGGAGGAUGACCCUCAUGGGGCCUGUGCUGGAACAGGUUUGCUGCAGCACCUGUGACCCCUGGGAGAUCUAAGCUGGAGCAGUUGCAGGAGAAGCCUCCCAAGAAGCAGUUGCAAGGCAGCAGUGACCUGAGCUGAGCUGCUUUUGGUGCCCAAUAACUCCCCCCACCCAGCACCUCUGCUGUCCUGAGUGACCACCAGAACAGAUGGAGCCCAAAGUCAUGGACUAAAUGAAUGCAACAAGGAUUUUGUUGAUGCUUUA
Molecule: long non-coding RNA, 664 nt
Organism: Parus major (Great Tit)
Lineage: Eukaryota; Metazoa; Chordata; Aves; Passeriformes; Paridae
Exons: 2
Source: RefSeq, a predicted model, not a curated record